RNAcentral lists this transfer RNA (70 nucleotides) under Marmota monax (woodchuck). Its description in RNAcentral is "tRNA.Ala". The record is from RNAcentral. Lineage: Eukaryota; Metazoa; Chordata; Mammalia; Rodentia; Sciuridae.
GGGCUGGGGCUCAGUGGUAGAGCUCUUGCCUAGCACGUGUGAGGCACUGGGUUCAAUUCUCAGCACCACA